This 254-nucleotide ribosomal RNA is filed under the name uncultured Pseudomonas sp. Its description in RNAcentral is "partial 16S ribosomal RNA". It matches the Rfam family "Bacterial small subunit ribosomal RNA", at positions 99 to 356 of the family's 1533-position model. The record is from RNAcentral. Lineage: Bacteria; Pseudomonadati; Pseudomonadota; Gammaproteobacteria; Pseudomonadales; Pseudomonadaceae.
CGGACGGGUGAGUAAUGCCUAGGAAUCUGCCUGGUAGUGGGGGACAACGUUUCGAAAGGAACGCUAAUACCGCAUACGUCCUACGGGAGAAAGCAGGGGACCUUCGGGCCUUGCGCUAUCAGAUGAGCCUAGGUCGGAUUAGCUAGUUGGUGAGGUAAUGGCUCACCAAGGCGACGAUCCGUAACUGGUCUGAGAGGAUGAUCAGUCACACUGGAACUGAGACACGGUCCAGACUCCUAUGGGAGGCAGCAGCG